GGUGGUUUUGAAGCGACAGUAAUGUUCGGUUGUGUACUUUGGCGGCGUGACCUGUUCUGUGUGUGAAGAUGUUGUCGAUUUAUUCGUGCAGACUGUUUUUCGAACGUGUAUAGUGAAUUACUGAAAAAUAAGCCAGAAUUUCUGGUAACAAAGAUGGACUUUCCGAAAAACGUCAUAAUUGUCGGAAAAUAAGUGACAAUUUAUGAAAAAUAAAUCAAUAUUCCUCUGACUUAAGUAAACCACAUAUUGGCAUGUUCUUACGCCAACUGCAUUUCCCCCUUUAAGAGUUCCUACAUUCGUAUUUGAUGUUUAACUGUAGCCAAAGAGUUCAUUAAUAUAAACUAAAAAUAAUAAUGGACCCGUAAUGGAACCCUGUGGAAGUCGGCGCAUUAUAUUUCGUAAAUUUGACAUUUUAUUACUGCAAAAAACCGCUUGCUUUCUAUUGGUUAGCAGUUUUUCAAAGGCCUUGGAAAGGUUUAAUGUGUUAUGCUCACCGCCUUAAGGCCCUCAACUAUGCCACCGACUCUAUGUAAUAGUGGUCGGGUGGUGGAACGUCCCUUUCUGACUCCAAACUGAUUUGGACUUAUCAAAUUAUACAUAUACAAUUUCGGUAACGCUCCGAAGAAAACAACAUUCAUUCGUCAACAACCAACUCAGCAGCGACAUAAAAGUUUUGUAAAAAAAAACUUCUAAAAUCAGGAGGGUAAGUUUACAAACGUUUUUACGAUACAUAGUAUGUUUACAGCACGUCUAAGUACCAAAAGAGAAAAAAAAAUUAUAACAUAUAUAUACAUAAGAUUAGAUAAAGUCUACAAUAGUAAUAGGUAUAACAACGCAAUACAUAACAUAUAAAAACAAACAGGAAUAAAAAUGAAAAGAAAAAGAUGUGGGCACCAUCAAGAAUCGUGUAAUCAGUGUAUUUAAACUUCCUAGUUCGAAGCAAAUUUGAGGGGGAAGUCGGCUAUUUAUCAUUAACCUCAAGAUUCUGAUACAGCGGUUGACAAAGGCCUCCAAAUCCUGCGUUGGAUAUAAUUCCGAUCGCUCUUUUGUGCAUACGAAAAAAUUUUCAGGGAAUCUAUUGAGUUUCCCCACAGUAUAACAACGUACGACAUAGCAUAGCAUUGUAGCUCGAGAUUAGAUAAUCCUUUCCGAUUAAAUUGACACUUGAGAGGUGCUACACACUACCGAAGUUUUUACAUUCGUGUUUGAUGUCCAUAUGGCCAAGGAGAUCAUUAAUAUAAACUAAAAACAAUAAUGGACCCCGAAGGGAACCUUGCGGAACUCCUUACAUUACAUUUCAUGAACGUGACAUUUUACUGCUGCAAAAAACUGCUUGCCUCCUAUUAGGGAGACAAGAGGACGAUAU
Molecule: long non-coding RNA, 1366 nt
Organism: Cylas formicarius (sweet potato weevil)
Lineage: Eukaryota; Metazoa; Arthropoda; Insecta; Coleoptera; Brentidae
Exons: 3
Source: RefSeq, a predicted model, not a curated record